This 231-nucleotide unclassified non-coding RNA is filed under the name plant metagenome. RNAcentral describes it as "partial contains small subunit ribosomal RNA, internal transcribed spacer 1, and 5.8S ribosomal RNA". The record is from RNAcentral.
UCUCCGUUGGUGAACCAGCGGAGGGAUCAUUACAGAGUUGCAAAACUCCCAAACCAUUGUGAACGUUACCUAUCCCGUUGCUUCGGCGGGCGGCCCGGGCCCCGCGCCCGGCGCCCCCCGGCCCCCCGUGGGGGCCCGCCGGAGGUAAACCAAACCCUUGAAUUGCAUGGCCUCUCUGAGUCUUCUGUACUGAAUAAGUCAAAACUUUCGACAACGGAUCUCUUGGUUCUG